UUGAGAGUUUGAUCCUGGCUCAGGAUGAACGCUAGCUACAGGCUUAACACAUGCAAGUCGAGGGGCAGCGAGGUUGAAGCUUGCUUCAACCGUCGGCGACCGGCGCACGGGUGAGUAACACGUAUCCAACCUGCCUUCCACUCGGGAAUAGCCUUUCGAAAGAAAGAUUAAUGCCCGAUGGUACGGAAUUUUCGCAUGAGAGUUCCUUUAAAGAAUUUCGGUGGAAGAUGGGGAUGCGUUCCAUUAGGCAGUUGGCGGGGUAACGGCCCACCAAACCUACGAUGGAUAGGGGUUCUGAGAGGAAGGUCCCCCACAUUGGAACUGAGACACGGUCCAAACUCCUACGGGAGGCAGCAGUGAGGAAUAUUGGUCAAUGGACGAGAGUCUGAACCAGCCAAGUAGCGUGAAGGAUGACUGCCCUAUGGGUUGUAAACUUCUUUUAUACGGGAAUAAAGUGAGGCACGUGUGCCUUUUUGUAUGUACCGUAUGAAUAAGGAUCGGCUAACUCCGUGCCAGCAGCCGCGGUAACACGGAGGAUCCGAGCGUUAUCCGGAUUUAUUGGGUUUAAAGGGAGUGUAGGCGGAAUUUUAAGUCAGCUGUGAAAGUUUGCGGCUCAACCGUAAAAUUGCAGUUGAUACUGGAGUUCUUGAGUGCGGUAAAGGCAGGCGGAAUUCGUGGUGUAGCGGUGAAAUGCUUAGAUAUCACGAAGAACUCCUAUUGCGAAGGCAGCUUGCUGGACCGUAACUGACGCUGAUGCUCGAAAGUGCGGGUAUCAAACAGGAUUAGAUACCCUGGUAGUCCGCACAGUAAACGAUGAAUACUCGCUGUUGGCGAUAUACAGUCAGCGGCCAAGCGAAAGCAUUAAGUAUUCCACCUGGGGAGUACGCCGGCAACGGUGAAACUCAAAGGAAUUGACGGGGGCCCGCACAAGCGGAGGAACAUGUGGUUUAAUUCGAUGAUACGCGAGGAACCUUACCCGGGCUUGAAUUGCUUCUGAAUAAUCUGGAAACAGGUUAGCCGCAAGGCAGAAGUGAAGGUGCUGCAUGGUUGUCGUCAGCUCGUGCCGUGAGGUGUCGGCUUAAGUGCCAUAACGAGCGCAACCCUCAUCUCCAGUUGCCAUUCAGGUCAUGCUGGGAACUCUGGAGAGACUGCCGUCGUAAGAUGUGAGGAAGGUGGGGAUGACGUCAAAUCAGCACGGCCCUUACGUCCGGGGCUACACACGUGUUACAAUGGGAGGUACAGCAGGCAGCUACCUGGCGACAGGAUGCUAAUCCCGAAAGCCUCUCUCAGUUCGGACUGGAGUCUGCAACCCGACUCCACGAAGCUGGAUUCGCUAGUAAUCGCGCAUCAGCCACGGCGCGGUGAAUACGUUCCCGGGCCUUGUACACACCGCCCGUCAAGCCAUGAAAGCCGGGGGUACCUGAAGUACGUAACCGCAAGGAGCGUCCUAGGGUAAAACUGGUGAUUGGGGCUAAGUCGUAACAAGGUAGCCGUA
RNAcentral lists this ribosomal RNA (1495 nucleotides) under uncultured bacterium. RNAcentral describes it as "16S ribosomal RNA". It matches the Rfam family "Bacterial small subunit ribosomal RNA". The record is from RNAcentral.